This is a long non-coding RNA of Bradysia coprophila, 1028 nucleotides long. NCBI's taxonomy places the organism in Eukaryota, Metazoa, Arthropoda, Insecta, Diptera, Sciaridae. The record is from RefSeq and is a predicted model, not a curated record.
UCCAUCGAUUUCUGUUAUUUCGGCUCUGUAUUUGCUGCUCCCCUUGGUGCUUGAACCAUUUCAAUCGCCGAAUCGACUGAGAGGUUUACAGAUGAUUUCCACAAUAACUCAGGGUCAUCGUCGAUCAACCUCGUGUGCAAUACUUUAUUUAUGGCAUUGGAUUGCUGUUUUAUGGAUGCUUUUGCGUGGUGGGCUUGUCUUGCGUUAGCACAGUUUUUGGCAGCUUGACCGAAGUGGUAUCGGAAGUGGUUAUACCGAUUUAGAACCAGCACCGCUUUGUCAGUAUUGGGAAAAGUUGAAGGUGACGUACUAUCUGGCGUCUGCUUUGUCAGCCAUCUGGACACUCAUUCAUUGGCUGCUUUUCUUCUGUACAUACCGCUAUAUGCAUCUAUCUAUCAAUCGGUGCAUCGUUUUUACUAGCUGCCUCAACUACACGAACUACGAAUAUUACAGUUUUAAGUCGGGAAUGUAUUUUACGAAAUGGAAAGAGCGCUUAGGAAUGAUGUGUGACUACUGCUGUCUGUUUUAUGUGGGGUAUGUAAUGUAAGUACACAAGAAAACCAAAAACGCUGAAGUUACUUGUGACAAACUGUUAUGUGCAGACACAGACAUUGUAAUAAUGAACCGUUCUUGAUGUGCGGGAUGUGAUCUGUGUGGCAUAAGAAUCUUUCCAAAUAAUCUAUGGUGACAUUUGAAGUGACUUUAUGAUGUUUUCCGUUUGAAUGAUGGUGGGUGGAUAAAUUUGGUUUCCAUUUGAAUUGCUAUAUGGCAGAGAGAUGGUAAAUUACAAACAUUUCCCACCGGGAAAUAAACAUGCGAUUUCGAACAUGUUAAAACCCAUAAACCUUGCCAACUUCCAUGGAGGAGAAACACAGUGACACGAAAUUCUCGGAAUGUAUUGCAUGGAUGUUUCUAAAAGCCAAAGUUUUCAGUCUGUGAGUAAUGAAUGUAGAGAAUCAGUCUGUGAUGUCUCUACGUUAUCUGUUGCAAUGCAAAGCAGGUAGAAUUUUGGAUGAAUGUAAUUGUUA